GGCAGUACAUUCUAAGUGUCUUUUGUG
Molecule: non-coding RNA, 27 nt
Filed under: Mus musculus (house mouse)
Lineage: Eukaryota; Metazoa; Chordata; Mammalia; Rodentia; Muridae
Source: RNAcentral